RNAcentral lists this unclassified non-coding RNA (220 nucleotides) under plant metagenome. RNAcentral's name for it is "partial contains small subunit ribosomal RNA, internal transcribed spacer 1, and 5.8S ribosomal RNA". The record is from RNAcentral.
UUUCCGUGGGUGAACCUGCGGAAGGAUCAUUACAGAGUUCAUGCCCUCACGGGUAGAUCUCCCACCCUUGAAUAUUUAUACCUUAGUUGCUUUGGCAGGCCGUGGAAACACCAUGGGCUCCGGCUUAUGCGUGCCUGCCAGAGGAAACAAACUCUGUUUUUAGUGAUGCCUGAGUACUAUAUAAUAGUUAAAACUUUCAACAACGGAUCUCUUGGUUCUG